This 253-nucleotide ribosomal RNA is filed under the name uncultured bacterium. RNAcentral's name for it is "partial 16S ribosomal RNA". It matches the Rfam family "Bacterial small subunit ribosomal RNA", at positions 524 to 776 of the family's 1533-position model. The record is from RNAcentral.
UACGGAGGGUGCAAGCGUUGCUCGGAAUUACUGGGCGUAAAGGGCGCGUAGGCGGCUCUGUUAGUCAGGCGUGAAAGCCCUGGGCUCAACCUGGGGACUGCGCUUGAUACGGCGGGGCUUGAGGGCAGGAGAGGCUCGCGGAAUUCCCAGUGUAGAGGUGAAAUUCGUAGAUAUUGGGAAGAACACCGGUGGCGAAGGCGGCGAGCUGGCCUGUUACUGACGCUGAGGCGCGACAGCGUGGGGAGCAAACAGG